RNAcentral lists this unclassified non-coding RNA (315 nucleotides) under air metagenome. RNAcentral's name for it is "partial contains small subunit ribosomal RNA, internal transcribed spacer 1, and 5.8S ribosomal RNA". The stretch from base 1 to 46 matches the Rfam family "Eukaryotic small subunit ribosomal RNA", at positions 1786 to 1831 of the family's 1831-position model. The record is from RNAcentral.
AAGUCGUAACAAGGUUUCCGUAGGUGAACCUGCGGAAGGAUCAUUAUUGAAUUAAACGUGAUGAGUUGCUGCUGGUUCUCUAGGGAACAUGUGCACACUUGUCAUCUUUAUAUCUCCACCUGUGCACCUUUUGUAGUCUUGGAUACUUUUCUAAAUGCUUUUUAAGCAUUUCAGGUUUGAGGAUUGACUUGUCUCUCCUUACAUUUCCAGGUCUAUGUUUCUUCAUAUACCCUAAUGUAUGUUAUAGAAUGUAAUAAAUGGGCCUUUGUGCCUAUAAACCUUAUACAACUUUCAGCAACGGAUCUCUUGGCUCUC